GACGAACGCUGGCGGCGUGCUUCAUACAUGCAAGUCGAACGAGAAGCUGACUUCGGUCAGUGGAAAGUGGCGGACGGGUGAGUAAUAUGUAGGAAAUCUGCCUUUAGGAGGGGGACAACAGAGGGAAACUUCUGCUAAUACCCCAUAUGAGCGUAGCUGACAUGCUAUUCUUGAAAACUCCGGUGCCUAAAGAUGAGCCUGCAUCUGAUUAGCUAGUUGGUAGUGUAAUGGACUACCAAGGCGACGAUCAGUAGCUGGUUUGAGAGGAUGAUCAGCCACAAGGGGACUGAGACACGGCCCAUACUCCUACGGGAGGCAGCAGUAGGGAAGUUUGCGCAAUGGGCGAAAGCCUGACGCAGCAACGCCGCGUGAACGAUUAAGCCCUUCGGGGUGUAAAGUUCUGUCAGUGGGGACGAAACUUGACGGUACCCACAGAGGAAGCACCGGCUAACUCCGUG
This 458-nucleotide ribosomal RNA is filed under the name uncultured bacterium. Its description in RNAcentral is "partial 16S ribosomal RNA". It matches the Rfam family "Bacterial small subunit ribosomal RNA", at positions 28 to 507 of the family's 1533-position model. The record is from RNAcentral.